CCUACGGGAGGCAGCAGUGAGGAAUAUUGGUCAAUGGACGAGAGUCUGAACCAGCCAAGUAGCGUGAAGGAUGACUGCCCUAUGGGUUGUAAACUUCUUUUAUAUGGGAAUAAAACAGGGUAUGCAUACCCUCUUGUAUGUACCAUAUGAAUAAGGAUCGGCUAACUCCGUGCCAGCAGCCGCGGUAAUACGGAGGAUCCGAGCGUUAUCCGGAUUUAUUGGGUUUAAAGGGAGCAUAGGUGGAUUGUUAAGUCAGUGGUGAAAGUUUGCGGCUCAACCGUAAAAUUGCAGUUGAAACUGGCAGUCUGGAGUACAGUAGAGGCGGGCGGAAUGCGUGGUGUAGCGGUGAAAUGCUUAGAUAUCACGAAGAACUCCGAUUGCGAAGGCAGCUCACUGGACUGCAACUGACACUGAUGCUCGAAAGUGUGGGUAUCAAACAGGAUUAGAUACCCUAGUAGUC
Molecule: ribosomal RNA, 460 nt
Filed under: uncultured bacterium
Lineage: Bacteria
Description: partial 16S ribosomal RNA
Rfam family: Bacterial small subunit ribosomal RNA
Source: RNAcentral